UAAUCUGUAAAUGUAAGAAAAACUCGUAAGAUUUUACUCGAAUAUUUCCAAGACCUCGACUUACCUGGCCAUUUUUGGUGUUAAAUACGCGGUUGUGGCAUUUAAAUUUGACUUGGUUGUGACAUAGAAUCAUUUGAAUUGGCAUUGGUGGAAGAACGUUUUCCAUUUUUCAUUAUGUGAGUACUAUUUGCGGCGUCACCUGCGGCGUCGGUGUCGUUGGCGGCUACAACAUUAGCCGACGCUGAUGAUUCAUCAUCAUUCUCAAAUAUGGGCAUAAUACGAUUUUUACAUAAGGCUGUACAAGAGCAGUUCACCGAACAUUUCUGAUCGAGCGAAUUACAUCCGCAACGCUUGUUGCAGCAGUUACCACGGCAUGAGCAGCCCUUGGACUUCCGCUUGUGCUGACCCUGGCCAGUCGCUUUUGUAGUUCCUCCAAGUGUUCCCGAAUGAUUGGACUCAAAGGAGAUCUGUUGUUGAUCCUCUUCCAUGUGGUGGGAGAUGUCGGACUGGGACAUGGACUUUGAAAUUCUAAAGAACGAACAACUUGUGUAUGAUGAUUAAAAAGUACAACUUACAUUUGCUCUCUUUUUGCGUACCAGUGGGGUUUGUUCCCAAUCAGGAUCGGAACUGCUUGUACUACCGUCUUCUUCCUCACUUGUUACUUCAAUUUCUUCUAUGUAUUCCUCCUUAUCUGCCUCUUCCUCCUUAAUGGCCGUGCUCUGCAUUGUAAAAAAGGGAAUUUGUUUUUAGUAAUGAAAGAAAAAAAUGAAGAACAAAUUGUGAAAAUAAACAGUGCAAUGGGUAGGGGGUGACAUCUUUUUGUUGUUCCUUAGUACCAUGAAAUAAAAUUUUAUGAUCAUUGCGGCGCAUAGAUGAA
Stomoxys calcitrans (stable fly) is the source of this 877-nucleotide long non-coding RNA. RefSeq lists it as uncharacterized. The transcript has 3 exons. The record is from RefSeq and is a predicted model, not a curated record. NCBI's taxonomy places the organism in Eukaryota, Metazoa, Arthropoda, Insecta, Diptera, Muscidae.